This 253-nucleotide ribosomal RNA is filed under the name uncultured bacterium. Its description in RNAcentral is "partial 16S ribosomal RNA". It matches the Rfam family "Bacterial small subunit ribosomal RNA", at positions 524 to 776 of the family's 1533-position model. The record is from RNAcentral.
GACGUAGGAUGCAAGCGUUGUCCGGAAUUAUUGGGCGUAAAGAGUUCGUAGGCGGUUGCCUAAGUCUGAUGUGAAAGCCCGGGGCUUAACCCCGGGUCUGCAUUCGAUACGGGCAGGCUAGAGUUCGGUAGGGGAGAUCGGAAUUCCUGGUGUAGCGGUGAAAUGCGCAGAUAUCAGGAGGAACACCGGUGGCGAAGGCGGAUCUCUGGGCCGAUACUGACGCUGAGGAGCGAAAGCGUGGGGAGCGAACAGG